GAUGAACGCUGGCGGCGUGCCUAACACAUGCAAGUCGAGCGAGGGUUUGCUCAGUAUUGAGUAUUCUAAGUCUAGAAUGUUCAAUUCUGAGCAAAACCAAGCGGCGGACGGGUGAGUAACGCGUGGGUAACCUGCCCUAUACACAUGGAUAACAUACUGAAAAGUUUACUAAUACAUGAUAAUAUAUAUUUGCGGCAUCGCAGAUAUAUCAAAGUGUUAGCGGUAUAGGAUGGACCCGCGUCUGAUUAGCUAGUUGGUGAGAUAACUGCCCACCAAGGCGACGAUCAGUAGCCGACCUGAGAGGGUGAUCGGCCACAUUGGAACUGAGACACGGUCCAAACUCCUACGGGAGGCAGCAGUGGGGAAUAUUGCACAAUGGGCGAAAGCCUGAUGCAGCAACGCCGCGUGAACGAUGAAGGUCUUCGGAUCGUAAAGUUCUGUUGCAGGGGAAGAUAA
Molecule: ribosomal RNA, 456 nt
Filed under: Peptostreptococcus stomatis
Lineage: Bacteria; Bacillati; Bacillota; Clostridia; Peptostreptococcales; Peptostreptococcaceae
Description: bacterial SSU rRNA
Rfam family: Bacterial small subunit ribosomal RNA
Source: RNAcentral